GACGAACGCUGGCGGCGUGCCUAAUACAUGCAAGUAGAACGCUGAAGGAGGAGCUUGCUCUUCUGGAUGAGUUGCGAACGGGUGAGUAACGCGUAGGUAACCUGCCUGGUAGCGGGGGAUAACUAUUGGAAACGAUAGCUAAUACCGCAUAACAGUAGAUGUUGCAUGACAUUUACUUAAAAGGUGCAAUUGCAUCACUACCAGAUGGACCUGCGUUGUAUUAGCUAGUUGGUGGGGGAACGGCUCACCAAGGCGACGAUACAUAGCCGACCUGAGAGGGGUGUCGGCCCAAACGGGACGGAGACACGGCCCAGAACCCUACGGGAGGCAGCAGGAGGGAAUCUUUGGCAAUGGACGGAAGGCUGAACGAGGAACGCCGCGUGAGUGAAGGAGGUUUUCGGAUCGUAAAGAUCUGUUGUAAGGGAAGAAAGAGAGUGAGAGUGGAAAGUGCACACUGUGACGGUAUCUUACCAGAAAGGGACGGCUAACUACGUG
This 495-nucleotide ribosomal RNA is filed under the name uncultured bacterium. Its description in RNAcentral is "partial 16S ribosomal RNA". It matches the Rfam family "Bacterial small subunit ribosomal RNA", at positions 28 to 507 of the family's 1533-position model. The record is from RNAcentral.